UACGUAGGGACCGAGCGUUGUCCGGAAUCAUUGGGCGUAAAGAGCGUGUAGGCGGCUUGUUAAGUCUUGCGUGAAAUCUCGGGGCUCAACCCCGAGCGGUCGUGAGAAACUGGCAGGCUAGAGUGCGGGAGAGGAGAGUGGAAUUCCUGGUGUAGCGGUGAAAUGCGUAGAUAUCGGGAGGAACAUCAGUGGCGAAGGCGGCUGCCUGGCCCAAUACUGACACUCAGGUGCGACAGCGUGGGGAGCAAACAGG
This 253-nucleotide ribosomal RNA is filed under the name uncultured bacterium. RNAcentral's name for it is "partial 16S ribosomal RNA". It matches the Rfam family "Bacterial small subunit ribosomal RNA", at positions 524 to 776 of the family's 1533-position model. The record is from RNAcentral.